AGUGAACGCUGGCGGUAGGCCUAACACAUGCAAGUCGAACGGCAGCACAGUAAGAGCUUGCUCUUACGGGUGGCGAGUGGCGGACGGGUGAGGAAUACAUCGGAAUCUACUUUUUCGUGGGGGAUAACGUAGGGAAACUUACGCUAAUACCGCAUACGACCUACGGGUGAAAGCAGGGGAUCUUCGGACCUUGCGCGAUUGAAUGAGCCGAUGUCGGAUUAGCUAGUUGGCGGGGUAAAGGCCCACCAAGGCGACGCUCCGUAGCUGGUCUGAGAGGAUGAUCAGCCACACUGGAACUGAGACACGGUCCAGAGUCCGACGGGAGGCAGCAGUGGGGAAGAGUGGACAAUGGGGGCAAGCCUGAUCCAGCCAUACCGGGUGGGUGAAGAAGGCCUUCGGGUUGUAAAGCCCUUUUGUUGGGAAAGAAAAGCAGCAGGUUAAUACCCCGCUGUGGUGACGGUACCCAAAGAAGAAGCACCGGCUAACUUCGUG
Molecule: ribosomal RNA, 492 nt
Filed under: uncultured bacterium
Lineage: Bacteria
Description: partial 16S ribosomal RNA
Rfam family: Bacterial small subunit ribosomal RNA
Source: RNAcentral